GGAUCCAGACUUUGAUUCUGGCUCAGGAUGAACGCUAGCUACAGGCUUAACACAUGCAAGUCGAGGGGAAACGAUAUUGGAAGCUUGCUUCUGAUAGGCGUCGACCGGCGCACGGGUGAGUAACGCGUAUCCAACCUGCCCACCACUUGGGGAUAACCUUGCGAAAGUAAGACUAAUACCCAAUGAUAUCUCUAGAAGACAUCUGAAAGGGAUUAAAGAUUUAUCGGUGAUGGAUGGGGAUGCGUCUGAUUAGCUUGUUGGCGGGGUAACGGCCCACCAAGGCGACGAUCAGUAGGGGUUCUGAGAGGAAGGUCCCCCACAUUGGAACUGAGACACGGUCCAAACUCCUACGGGAGGCAGCAGUGAGGAAUAUUGGUCAAUGGGCGAGAGCCUGAACCAGCCAAGUAGCGUGCAGGAAGACGGCCCUAUGGGUUGUAAACUGCUUUUAUAAGGGAAUAAAGUGAGUCUCGUGAGACUUUUUGCAUGUACCUUAUGAAUAAGGACCGGCUAAUUCCGUGCCAGCAGCCGCGGUAAUACGGAAGGUCCGGGCGUUAUCCGGAUUUAUUGGGUUUAAAGGGAGCGUAGGCCGGAGAUUAAGCGUGUUGUGAAAUGUAGACGCUCAACGUCUGCACUGCAGCGCGAACUGGUUUCCUUGAGUACGCACAAAGUGGGCGGAAUCCGUGGUGUAGCGGUGAAAUGCUUAGAUAUCACGAAGAACUCCGAUUGCGAAGGCAGCUCACUGGAGCGCAACUGACGCUGAAGCUCGAAAGUGCGGGUAUCGAACAGGAUUAGAUACCCUGGUAGUCCGCACGGUAAACGAUGGAUGCCCGCUGUUGGUCUGAAUAGGUCAGCGGCCAAGCGAAAGCAUUAAGCAUCCCACCUGGGGAGUACGCCGGCAACGGUGCAACUCAAAGGAAUUGACGG
RNAcentral lists this ribosomal RNA (924 nucleotides) under uncultured Bacteroidota bacterium. Its description in RNAcentral is "bacterial SSU rRNA". It matches the Rfam family "Bacterial small subunit ribosomal RNA", at positions 1 to 916 of the family's 1533-position model. The record is from RNAcentral. Lineage: Bacteria; Pseudomonadati; Bacteroidota.